Acanthoscelides obtectus is the source of this 73-nucleotide non-coding RNA. The record is from the annotation of a GenBank genome assembly. NCBI's taxonomy places the organism in Eukaryota, Metazoa, Arthropoda, Insecta, Coleoptera, Chrysomelidae.
GGUGCUGUAGACUAAUUGGUUAGGUCGGCUACAGGGAAUGGCAGGGAAGCAGGUUCAAAUCCCGUCGGCGCCC